RNAcentral lists this ribosomal RNA (468 nucleotides) under uncultured bacterium. RNAcentral describes it as "partial 16S ribosomal RNA". It matches the Rfam family "Bacterial small subunit ribosomal RNA", at positions 28 to 507 of the family's 1533-position model. The record is from RNAcentral.
GACGAACGCUGGCGGCGUGCUUAACACAUGCAAGUCGAACGGAAAGGCCCUGCUUUUGUGGGGUUCUCGAGUGGCGAACGGGUGAGUAACACGUGAGUAACCUGCCCUUGACUUUGGGAUAACUUCAGGAAACUGGGGCUAAUACCGGAUAGGAGCUCCUGCUGCAUGGUGGGGGUUGGAAAGUUUCGGCGGUUGUGGAUGGACUCGCGGCUUAUCAGCUUGUUGGUGGGGUAGUGGCUUACCAAGGCUUUGACGGGUAGCCGGCCUGAGAGGGUGACCGGCCACAUUGGGACUGAGAUACGGCCCAGACUCCUACGGGAGGCAGCAGUGGGGAAUAUUGCACAAUGGGCGGAAGCCUGAUGCAGCAACGCCGCGUGCGGGAUGACGGCCUUCGGGUUGUAAACCGCUUUCGCCUGUGACGAAGCGUGAGUGACGGUAAUGGGUAAAGAAGCACCGGCUAACUACGUG